This 254-nucleotide ribosomal RNA is filed under the name uncultured bacterium. RNAcentral's name for it is "partial 16S ribosomal RNA". It matches the Rfam family "Bacterial small subunit ribosomal RNA", at positions 524 to 776 of the family's 1533-position model. The record is from RNAcentral.
UACGGGGGGAGCAAGCGUUGUUCGGAUUUACUGGGCGUAAAGGGCGCGUAGGCGGCCUCCGCAAGUCGACUGUGAAAUCUCCGGGCUUAACCCGGAACGGUCAGCCGAUACUGCGGGGCUAGAGUGCAGAAGGGGCAACUGGAAUUCUCGGUGUAGCGGUGAAAUGCGUAGAUAUCGAGAGGAACACCUGCGGCGAAGGCGGGUUGCUGGGGAUGUGCCGACGCUGAGACACGAAAGCCAGGGGAGCAAACGGG